Molecule: long non-coding RNA, 333 nt
Filed under: Marmota monax (woodchuck)
Lineage: Eukaryota; Metazoa; Chordata; Mammalia; Rodentia; Sciuridae
Source: RNAcentral
CAGGACCCAGCACCCAACAGAUGCCUUUGGAAUAUUAGUGUGGUGAUUCUACCCAGAAGCCAGGAUAGAGACUGUGGUUGGGUCUAGUUCUCAGAAUCAAAGCCACCCCACCCCCACCUCUGGUUGCUUUCACGUAGUUCCCUGAGAGACUUCCUCCACAGUAACCGUUGCUCCCACAGCCUGAUUUGGAUGCUUCCCUCCCUCUUCACUGACAUCACUGCUUUUCCCCCAGGAAACUAGUGUUGAGAGGAGAGAGGCCCAGGAGGGAGCACAGUGAUGUGCAGUUCUCUACCCACCACCCCCGUAACUUUUUUUAAAAGUUGCCUCUUCUCA